AUACGUAGGGAGCAAGCGUUAUCCGGAUUUAUUGGGUGUAAAGGGUGCGUAGGCGGGAAGGCAAGUUGAAUGUGAAAUACCGUGGCUCAACCACGGGGCUGCGUUCAAAACUGUUUUUCUUGAGUACAGCAGAGGCAAGCGGAAUUCCCAGUGUAGCGGUAAUAUGCGUAGAUAUUGGGAGGAACACCGGUGGCGAAGGCGGCUUGCUGGGCUGCAACUGACGCUGAAGCACGAAAGUGUGGGGAGCAAACAGGAUUAGAUACCCUGGUAGUCCACACUGUAAACGAUGAUUACUAGGUGUGGGGAGAUUGACCCUCUCCGUGCCGCAGUUAACACAAUAAGUAAUCCACCUGAGUAGUACGGCCGCAAGGUUGAA
RNAcentral lists this ribosomal RNA (376 nucleotides) under uncultured bacterium. RNAcentral's name for it is "bacterial SSU rRNA". It matches the Rfam family "Bacterial small subunit ribosomal RNA", at positions 523 to 898 of the family's 1533-position model. The record is from RNAcentral.